This 463-nucleotide ribosomal RNA is filed under the name uncultured bacterium. Its description in RNAcentral is "bacterial SSU rRNA". It matches the Rfam family "Bacterial small subunit ribosomal RNA", at positions 34 to 504 of the family's 1533-position model. The record is from RNAcentral.
CGCUGGCGGCGUGCUUAACACAUGCAAGUCGAACGAUGAAGCGGUGCUUGCACCGUGGAUUAGUGGCGAACGGGUGAGUAAUACGUGAGUGACCUACCUUUGACUCUGGGAUAAGCCUGGGAAACUGGGUCUAAUACCGGAUACGACCAAUCUCUGCAUGGGGUGUUGGUGGAAAGCGUUAUGGAGUGGUUUUAGAUGGGCUCACGGCCUAUCAGCUUGUUGGUGAGGUAAUGGCUUACCAAGGCGACGACGGGUAGCCGGCCCUGAGAGGGUGACCGGCCACACUGGGACUGAGACACGGCCCAGACUCCUACGGGAGGCAGCAGUGGGGAAUAUUGCACAAUGGGCGCAAGCCUGAUGCAGCGACGCCGCGUGAGGGAUGACGGCCUUCGGGUUGUAAACCUCUGUUAGCAUCGAAGAAGCGAAAGUGACGGUAGGUGCAGAGAAAGCGCCGGCUAACUAC